UCCAGAGCUUUCUGAAUCCAGUGACCAGAUAUUCAUCAGGAUGACUGGAGAUGACCCAGGAUGAGGCAAGCAGGGUUGGGUCUGGUUAGUACUUGGAUGGGACCCUGCCUGGGAAUAUCGGGUGCUGUAA
RNAcentral lists this ribosomal RNA (130 nucleotides) under Notamacropus eugenii (tammar wallaby). The record is from RNAcentral. Lineage: Eukaryota; Metazoa; Chordata; Mammalia; Diprotodontia; Macropodidae.